AGAAGUAUCCAGAACACAACAGGGGUUCUAUUCGUCCUCUGUCCUGGAAGAUGUGGCUGGGACUAUGAAACUGAAUUAAUCAUGCUCCAUAAUGACAAAGAUCAAGGUGUAGCAUGCCUGGGCAUUGUUGCAGUCAUCAUCUGGCAUCCCAUCCUAUUAGACAGGAAUGGUAGGAAGAGUUUAUGAGAAGGCAUGCCGACCUACAUGAUCCUGCCUGGAGACUAGCACAGGAGAUGAGUGAGCUGGAAGUCCAAGAUCAAGGCAGUGGAAGAUUCAGUGUCUGGUGGGAGCCUGCUUCCUGGUUCAUAGACACUGACCUCUUGCUGUGUCCUCAUAUGGCAGAAGAGAUAUGUCAUGGAUGCAAAAGGUAGAGAAAAGAAUUGGUGACAGAUGUCCUACCACUGGAAACAGUAAAUCAGGCCACAAUCAAAUGU
Molecule: long non-coding RNA, 434 nt
Organism: Mustela lutreola (European mink)
Lineage: Eukaryota; Metazoa; Chordata; Mammalia; Carnivora; Mustelidae
Exons: 4
Source: RefSeq, a predicted model, not a curated record